RNAcentral lists this transfer RNA (71 nucleotides) under Lachnospiraceae bacterium A2. It matches the Rfam family "tRNA". From Rfam's summary of the family: Transfer RNA (tRNA) molecules are approximately 80 nucleotides in length. Their secondary structure includes four short double-helical elements and three loops (D, anti-codon, and T loops). Further hydrogen bonds mediate the characteristic L-shaped molecular structure. tRNAs have two regions of fundamental functional importance: the anti-codon, which is responsible for specific mRNA codon recognition, and the 3' end, to which the tRNAs corresponding amino acid is attached (by aminoacyl-tRNA synthetases). tRNAs cope with the degeneracy of the genetic code in two manners: having more than one tRNA (with a specific anti-codon) for a particular amino acid; and 'wobble' base-pairing, i.e. permitting non-standard base-pairing at the 3rd anti-codon position. The record is from Rfam by way of RNAcentral. Lineage: Bacteria; Bacillati; Bacillota; Clostridia; Lachnospirales; Lachnospiraceae. RNAcentral also lists the same sequence under 1 other name.
GCGGAUAUAGUUCAUUGGUAGAACGCCAGCUUCCCAAGCUGGAGAGGCGGGUUCGAUUCCCGUUAUCCGCU